This 270-nucleotide ribosomal RNA is filed under the name uncultured Prevotella sp. RNAcentral's name for it is "partial 16S ribosomal RNA". It matches the Rfam family "Bacterial small subunit ribosomal RNA", at positions 85 to 354 of the family's 1533-position model. The record is from RNAcentral. Lineage: Bacteria; Pseudomonadati; Bacteroidota; Bacteroidia; Bacteroidales; Prevotellaceae.
UUGUCGGCGACCGGCGCACGGGUGAGUAACGCGUAUCCAACCUGCCCAUAACUAAGGGAUAACCAGCGAAAGUUGGACUAAUACCUUAUGUAUUCGUUUGAUCUCAUGAGAUUACGAAUAAAGAUUUAUCGGUUAUGGAUGGGGAUGCGUCUGAUUAGCUUGUUGGCGGGGUAACGGCUCACCAAGGCAACGAUCAGUAGGGGUUCUGAGAGGAAGGUCCCCCACAUUGGAACUGAGACACGGUCCAAACUCCUACGGGAGGCAGCAGGU